Non-coding RNA from Rattus norvegicus (Norway rat), 4040 nucleotides. Lineage: Eukaryota; Metazoa; Chordata; Mammalia; Rodentia; Muridae. The record is from RefSeq and is a predicted model, not a curated record.
CGGGCCCUUGCAGCUCCUCUGGCGGCAACUCUCUGGAACUCUCUGGUUCUGCCGCCCUCUCCCGCGCCACCCAGCCCCCUACCCGCCACCGAGAUCUGACCCUGUGCAUUCCCGCCCGUGGGCCCCGCGCUGGGUAUCACGGCGGGCGCUCGGCUCCCGCUCGAGGCCCCGGGAACCCCUCCCCCACGCCUACGGUUUGACCGCUGAGGGGACCCACCCUCGGAUUCUGCAGACCAGGUCUCGGGGAAGCGUGCCCUUGGAGUCUUUCCCCUCACCGGGCUUCCAGUGGUCUUUGUGUGAUUUCUGGGGCCUUUCUCUGGUCCCUGAGUGUCUUCUCUGGUGCCCACAGGCAAGUCUGACUCUCUGAUGCCACCUGUCGCUUAUAAUCCGCAGAAAUGGCCACACAGCUCGCAGACACAUCGAGGCGGGUAGGGUAACCCAGCGUCUCCCGGUGGCACUCUGGGAGGCGGGAAGAGGAUCAAGCAAGAGGAUGUUCAGUUAUGAACCCCAGGUAAAAUGACUGGUUUGUUCAGUUAUAUAAUUUGGUAGAUGUCAUACCUAUUCCUCAAUGUUUAUGGGGCAGGACUCCGGAGCUGCGGCUGUUCAGUAGGAGAGACCAAAAGCAAAUGGUAAACGAGAGAGAAGACACACAUGCACACACAAGUAAAACAGCAGGAGCCACAUUACUACCACCAUGGUCACUGCUGCCAGCAUCCAUGCCGUGCGGCUGAGCCGUCCUGACCCAAGUCCUUAUGUAACAUCUUCCACCCCAGGAGCCCCAGUCAGGGCUGCAGGCUGCUUGUAGAACAGUCUAGGGUACAGAUGGGCCAUGGGUAAUGAAAGGACGUCCUUUGCCCUGGAGGGACCCACAGGGUCCAUGGCAGCUGUCAUACUGCUUGCCUCUCCACUGCCCACUCAGAAGGCUGCCUGGGUCCCGAGGAGAUGUCUGAGUGUGCCCUCCCAUCUGGCUGGAUCCAGGCCUUCUGGCAAGAAACUGGAGCUUGGGGGUUGGGGAUUUAGCUCAGUGGUAGAGCGCUUGCCUAGCAAGCGCAAGGCCCUGGGUUCGGUCCCCGGCUCCAAAAAAAAAAGAACCAGAAAAAAGAAAAGAAACUGGAGCUUGGCGAGUUGAACUCCCCCCAAGGAGAGGGACAAUGGUGCUUUAUAUUUGGUCUCCUUUUGGGGAGUCAGAAACGAGAGGAGGAAGAGACCUCCAGAGGCCGAUUUAGGGACACCCAGUUUGCCUUUCUCUGUCUCUACUAAUGUGCUGAUUAACUUGAGGACUAUAGUAGUUAAAGGAAGCUUAUCUCGUAAUUUAGAUCUCCCCUUAGUGUGUGCACCGCAAACAUCCCAUUUUAAAAACAAAAGCACAGGAAUCUCAUUCUGUAGCCCUCACUGGCCUGGAACUUGAUGUGUAGACCCAGGCUGGCCUCAACACAUAGAAAAUCUGCCUGGCUCUGCCUCCUGAGUGCUGGGAUGAAAGGUGUGCAUGACCACAUCUUUUUUUUUAAUGAUUUACUUACUUAUUUUUAUGUAUAUUGGUAUUUUUGCCUGAAUGUAUGGCAUGUCUGUGUGAGGGUGUUGAAUCCCCUGGAACUGGAGUUACAGAUGGCUGUGAGCCACCAUGUGGUUGCUGGGAAUUGAACUCAGGACCUCUGGAAGAGCAGUCAGUGCUCCUAACCACAGAGCCAUCUCUCCAGCCUCACAUGACCACAUGUUAAUCUUACAUCGUGAGGCCUGAGGCAGGAGUGGACUUCACUUUGGGUCUCUAUUUGUUUAUGUUUUACCGCACAGGUCUACUCCUGUGUCACUCAGCCAUGUAAGGAUUCUGUUUUCACUGAAAGCCCCUGUCUUUCCCUUUGCCCAUCACACCCUACCCAGUGCCUUCUGAGCAUGCUUACUACCCCACACCACUCUCCUGCCAGUCAUGGAAUACUCUUACAAGCCACACAGACUGCACGGUCACACAGUUCCAGCUCUUAUCGCAUCCCCUGUCAAGUUAGGUUAUCCCCAUGGCCAACUGGCUCUAGCAUAAGGAACCGGAAAGCUGGCCUCAGUCGUGGGCCUUUGAAGCUCUGGAAGCUUCUUGGGGGAGAGGAGCCGGAAGGCAGAGGCCCUCUCUGAGGCUCUCACAAGCACAAGGAGGGUGCUGAUGGCUUUCUUGGCACAGUGUGACCCACAUGAUCCAGGGAAGCAGCCCUGCCCUUGUUGGCCUUCCCCUGCCUGCUCUCCAUGUGUCCUCCAUGAGGGGUGGCACCUAUUUGAAGAGGGAAACAGAUUCAAGCAGGGCAGGGUCCAUAGGAGUGCUCCUCAGGGGAUAAAGGAGCAUUAAAGAACAGGGAGGCACAAGACAGCCCUCAGCUCUCACAGCGCGGUCAGGGGAGCACACCGGUGAGUGUGAACUCAGUCUGGAGGAGCUACACAACUCUCCUGGCUUUGACCCAGGAGAUAAACAGACCCCUCAGAGUACCUUGGCACCUUUGCUACCUACCGGUGUGAUCGUUCUAACAGAUGUCUCCUCUCUACAAGAGCCCUUGACUUUUGCUAUAGAUACUUAAUUCGUAUAUACUUAGGAACUGUUUAUAUGCAAGUCCCUCUCCUGUCACUGCCAUGGGUGGCUGGUCCCAUGUUUGGCCAAACUGGGAGCUCCAUUUACUCUUAGAACUGCUGACUCUAGACAUCCCCAUACCGAAGCCAUGCCGCCUGCUUUCUGCUUGAACUCUGCUGAGUCCACACUGCCCUCCUCCCUGUGAGUGAAGACACACUGACAAGCAGGUUGUUGGGAAGGAGGCUUGGCGAGGAGGAAGCAGAAUGAACAAGCUUGGUCUCCAUGGCACCGUGGGCUCCAACAGUGGCAGCAGCUCCCUCUGCCAAAAGCGGGACUCAGCCUAGAAGCCCCUGAGGAAAGGCUGGCCGGCAGAAAUCACCACAAACACAGGCAGAGCUGGGAACAGGCACCUUCACCCUAUGACCAACCAAGGAUGCCUACCCCACAGUCUUUGCCACAGAAGCGGGUCUAUUUUUGUUGAACAGAAAUGUGUAUCUUCUCAGUUUUUUUAUCUUUUAAAACUCAAGUGAACAUAGGCCUUGCCAGUUAGGAACUGGAAGUUUGUCUAGAGCCCUAAGCGAGAGCCCGUGCACACCCGUGAGCGUGGUGCUGGGCUGAGCAGAGGCAGGAGGACAGAGCUGGCACAGAGUGAACAUGAACUUUCACACAAGUCAGAACAGAAUGAGCUAAAAAAUGAGCAAAUCAGACAGACAGACAGACCUACGUUUGGCAUAAAGACAUGGAACAUAAACGGACGGAUGGAAGCAAGGCCAGAAGUGGGAAGGCAGGGGUGAGCGUGCCUGGUCUCCAGCAGCUCCAGUCCAGCCUUAAACUGGGCAGGAGGUGGCCAUACGGAUCAACGCCCUCCACCAUGCUAGGGCAGGAAGGGAGAGUGCCUGGGGCCUGCACAGGGGAAACAGGUGAUCUGAUGCUGUCUCUCAGGUCCACGGAAGUCUGGGACCUGGGCAGUAUCUUCAGGACAAACUAAAGCAAGAAUGACUGAAGUGCCCUUGGAAAGGCUGGAGAAAGUUUCUCCUGAGCAACUGGCUUCCCUUGCCACAGGCCUGCAUGGGGCCAGGGCCUGCUGGGACCAUGUCUGGCACAGGCUGAAGGAGAACGGCAGCCACAGAAGGCCCUGUGGCUUAACACUUCAGCUACUUCGCUGAGCGAGUAAAGCACUGGACCCCGGAGUGGCUGCUCUGAAGCUGAAGCAGGUCUUCAGUGGGGACACUGGGGAGAUGAGAGAGGGAAGUGUGACGGGGCUCUGCUGAGGCCAGGAAGGGACAUCUGUCCCAGGCGAGGCUCUUAGUGGGUUUUGCUGCUGCUGAACGGGUGGAAGUCAGUGCUCAACUGUGGUUAUUUUAUUUGGGGUUCUCAAGACAGUUUUUCUGUGUAGCUCUGGCUGUCAUGGAACUUGGUCAGUAGACUAGGCCGCAUCAGACUCAGAGAUCUGCCUGCCUCCCCAGAGCAGGGAUUAAAGGCUUGCACCACCACA